This 395-nucleotide ribosomal RNA is filed under the name uncultured bacterium. RNAcentral's name for it is "bacterial SSU rRNA". It matches the Rfam family "Bacterial small subunit ribosomal RNA", at positions 29 to 428 of the family's 1533-position model. The record is from RNAcentral.
AUUGAACGCUGGCGGCAUGCCUUACACAUGCAAGACGAACGGUAACGCGGGGCAACCUGGCGACGAGUGGCGAACGGGUGAGUAAAGUAUCGGAACGUGCCCAAUAGUGGGGGAUAGCCCGGCGAAAGCCGGAUUAAUACCGCAUGAGACCUGAGGGUGAAAGCGGGGGACUCGCAAGAGCCUCGCGCUGUUGGAGCGGCCGAUAUCAGAUUAGGUAGUUGGUGGGGUAAAGGCCUACCAAGCCGACGAUCUGUAGCUGGUCUGAGAGGACGACCAGCCACACUGGGACUGAGACACGGCCCAGACUCCUACGGGAGGCAGCAGUGGGGAAUUUUGGACAAUGGGCGCAAGCCUGAUCCAGCCAUGCCGCGUGCGGGAAGAAGGCCUCGGUGUAA